CUACGGGGCGCUCCAGUGAGGAAUAUUGGUCAAUGGGCGCGAGCCUGAACCAGCCAUCCCGCGUGCAGGAUGACGGCCCUAUGGGUUGUAAACUGCUUUUCUAUGCCAAGAAACCUGAUUACGUGUAAUCAGUUGCCGGUAGCAUAGGAAUAAGCAUCGGCUAACUCCGUGCCAGGCAGCCGCGGUAAUACGGAGGAUGCAAGCGUUAUCCGGAUUCAUUGGGUUUAAAGGGUGCGCAGGUGGGCUUGUAAGUCAGUGGUGAAAUGCUGCCGCUUAACGGUAGAACUGCCAUUGAUACUGCGAGUCUUGAGUAUGGUUGAGGUAGGCGGAAUGUGCUGUGUAGCGGUGAAAUGCAUAGAUAUGACACAGAACGCCAAUUGCGAAGGCAGCUUACUAAGCCAUUACUGACGCUGAGGCACGAAAGCGUGGGGAGCGAACAGGAUUAGAUACCCCCGUAGUC
This 460-nucleotide ribosomal RNA is filed under the name uncultured bacterium. RNAcentral describes it as "partial 16S ribosomal RNA". It matches the Rfam family "Bacterial small subunit ribosomal RNA", at positions 339 to 795 of the family's 1533-position model. The record is from RNAcentral.